CCCUUAGAUGUUCUGGGCCGCACGCGCGCUACACUGAUGAAUGCAACGAGCUCUACCCUUGACCGAAAGGCCCGGGUAAACUUGUGAAACUUCAUCGUGAUGGGGAUAGAUUAUUGCAAUUAUUAAUCUUCAACGAGGAAUGCCUAGUAAGCGCAAGUCAUCAGCUUGCGUUGAUUACGUCCCUGCCCUUUGUACACACCGCCCGUCGCUCCUACCGAUUGAAUGGUCCGGUGAAGCGUUCGGACCGUGGCCUUUGGACGGUUCGCCGUCUGUUGGCUGCGGGAAGUUCGUUAAACCUUAUCAUUUAGAGGAAGGAGAAGUCGUAACA
RNAcentral lists this ribosomal RNA (328 nucleotides) under uncultured eukaryote. RNAcentral's name for it is "partial 18S ribosomal RNA". It matches the Rfam family "Eukaryotic small subunit ribosomal RNA", at positions 1470 to 1796 of the family's 1831-position model. The record is from RNAcentral.